Molecule: long non-coding RNA, 11827 nt
Filed under: Heterocephalus glaber (naked mole-rat)
Lineage: Eukaryota; Metazoa; Chordata; Mammalia; Rodentia; Bathyergidae
Description: lncRNA (ENSHGLG00100038322.1)
Source: RNAcentral
GCUUAACUGGCAGUAAAUAUCCAGAGGUCAUAGCUUUUAGCAUAACUUUGAAAAUAAAUGAAAAAAGUAACUGAAUAAAAUCAUUAUUAAUGAUGGAAAAGAAACACAGAAGAUCAGCCUCAUAAUAUUUUAAAGUCAUGUGGUGAGCAGUUUGCUUGACCAUACUCUGUCCAUGCUGUACUACCUCUCCACAGGCUGAGGAAAAGCUGGGCCAAUUGAACAAGGACCAAAGCCUCCUAAACUGGCUGCAAAGAUGAUGAUCAAACAACUAAUCUAAUGAAGAAGAGGCCAACACUCUGGAGAAGAGAUAAGCCUGCCUGGAAGAGUUGACUACUCCAAGGAAAAACAGAGAUUCUCUUCACUUUUCCAGUGGGCAUCAAUUUUCAUCAAGGAGCCUGAGAGAGGGCCUCUUUCUAUUGUUCACUUCUGCUCUAUCCUCUGGAGAUCAAGACAAUGGCCUUAUGAUCCCCUGUGCCUCUGUAGUGUGGAACCAGGUACUGGGCACAGCCAGGAGGCCAGAGGAGGUGUGGAGGGGUGCAGGCUCGGCUAAGCUGUUUGCUGGGAGGAGGACACAGGCUGGACAGAGUGGAGCUCCAUGCCGCUGAGGUCCUCACUAUCUGCUGGCUGGUCCCAUGUGUAUUUACUUGUUACAAAUUUCUUUGGAUAAUUCAUGCUCCCUUAGGGUACUCAGUGAAAACUGAAAGUACUUUUAUUUUACAAUACUGUGCCUGUUUCAAAUACUAUACACUUUGUUUAUAGUGAUGAUUUCAAAAUGUGUACAUAUAUCUGAAAUAUAACUUGCACAUCUGAAAUAUAUACAAUAUUUACUUGUCAAUUAUAUCUCAAUACAGUUGUAAAAUAAUUUCAUAUUAUAUCCUUACUCUUCUUUUAACAAUUCCUGAUUUUUUCCAGAAAGACACAUUCUUUCUUCUUAGAAAAUAUAUAGCAUUCAGUAAUCUGUGUCUAGAUUUUCUUUUGUAGAUAAACCAGGAUAUCCCCCAAAUUUAAAUGAAAUUAAAACAACACUAAUUUUAGCAUGUAAAAAUUUAUAUUUAAAUAAAAAUUGUAUUUUCUCUGUAUUUAAUCUCAAAGACAUUUCAUAAAAACAGUGAUAGUUCUGACUUCUUCUUUUAACUGUAGCUAUUUAGCAAUUUUAAAACCUUUGCAGCUCUAUUAAAUGUUGUGCCUGAGGUAUAGCUUUUCAUCAGUUUGGUAAUGAUUCUUAUACUUUCAAGUCUUCAUUUUAUGCUACUUUAUCUAUGUUUAUAUUUUUAAGACAAAGUGGAUCAAUGUUUUCAUUAUAUUGCAAUAUGAAUUUAACACAAGACCUCUGCUUAUCUAAUGCUCUUGAAAAUUAAUUUAAGUCAAGGGCUGAAACUCAGACUGGUGGCACAGAUUUGAAUUUCCAAAUAUUUCUUCCAAAUUGAUGGAGAGAAAGUAUGGCCACAGAGUGAGAAUGGGGGUGAAGUUAAAGCAAAUGAGGAUAUGCUGUCAUAUCUGAAUGAUAAUAUGAAAUUUACUAUAAUAUACUCUUUCUGAGGAGGUGAUUAUUUUUUGACAUUUACACAUUACUAGAGCAAGAAGUUUUAGCUCUGUGGCGCCUAGGCAAAUAAAGGUAUUGACAGUUUUUAUCUCUCAAGAAGAUUCUGUUCCCCAACAGUGAUUACUUUCAAAGUCUCCUCUUCUACUAACCAGAAUGAAAGCCUCACAUUGGAAGUAAUUAGUAGCCAUCACUAGAUCUGAUUAUAAAUAUAAAAAUUCUCUCUUCCUUCCAGGCACAUGUGGACUUGAUACUAGUUCUGACCAUCUUCCAGGCAUAUGUAAAAAAGCUACUGUCCAAGCUCCUUAGAAAUUAAAUGUGACUUUGUAAUUCCUUGUAAAUGAAAUGUGUAUGGAAGUAAUAUAUAUCACUUGCAAAAUGCUUUAAGAUCCAGUAAGAAAAUUAUCACACUUGUGAUAUCACCUGUGAAGCUGAUAGUGAAGUAUGUAUCUGCAUAGAAACUCCCUGCAAACCUGUUUUGGACACAGCAACUUAAAUAAGUCUGCACUUCCUUAUACAGCAGUAUUAAAUAACACAUCCAAAAAGAAAUAUAAUGAUAAUUCAGAUAGUGUCAUGCUUCCUUUUCUUAGUUCUGGGUAUAAUACCUUGGAAAUGAUGUUUCAUGGCCUUUAAUGCUCUUGCAGGACCUGUGAACAGAAAUAUUGCUUUCUGUUUGUUCUGGACUAUGUUUUCAAGGUUGUAUGUAUGGCACACAAACCUGGAAGAAAUAGUAUUUUCCAUCCAGUGAAAGGACGAAUUUUCUAAGCAGCCGAAUGCAAAACAUUCAAAGUCUCUGUACUUGGAGUACAAUCAGUUGUGGAGCAAAACCACUGUAUUGUGCAAUUUUAACUGGGCUCUCUUGUGUGUCCAUGGCACUUGGGGAAUAAAGGAAAUAAAUAUCAACAUGACACUCAGGCACUUUGUGGUGCUAUAAAGAAUAUAGUUAUUGUCUGCUACCCAUAAAUCCCGUAUUUUUUGUUAGCACCCAUGGCUAAUCUGUUAGUUUAAAAGUAGUCUGUAGUAUCAAUUUUCUCAAAGCUUCAUACAUAGUAUCAGCACACUUUCAAAAAGUAAUAUAUUAAAAUUUAAAUAUUCAUAAUGUUAAAAGAAUAAAGACAUAACAAAUUUGAAGUGGAGAGUACUUUCUCUGUCUAUUAGUUGUGACAUAUCAAUUUGACUUGACUAAAAGUCACCUAGCGGGUUAGUAAAGCACAUUUCUGGGUGUCUGUUCAAAAUUUAGUUCAGCGAAUGGAGGGAAGACAACACCUCCUAUAUGUGGGUGAUUGGAAUGAAAAAGGAAAAAAGAAGGAAAUGUCCCCAUUGUGGAAGAGUUCUAGUCUUGCCAUUCAUGGGUUUCCAGUUUCUUCAGCCUUCCAACACAGACUUGCACUGGUGACAUUAAUGUGAGCUUCCAGGCCUUGAACUUUGAAAUGGUGCUGCAUCCUUAGUCCUUCUUUUUCUGCAAUUUUCAUUUUUUGACCUGAGCAGCAACUGAAUCAUCUGGAAUUUCAGUGCACAGGUUGCCAUUGUCGGCUCUUCUGACCUAAUAAAUCCCAUUGCAUAAUUAUUGAUUUUGUUCCCCAAAGAAUCCUAAUACACUUCCAUACACACAAGUUCUGGCUGGACACAGUGGUCUGGUGGCGCACGCCAGUUAUCCCCACACAUAGGGAUUUGAGGAAGGAGAACGGCUGUGAGUUUUAGUCCAGCCUGGCUACAUGACGAUUUCAAGGCCACCCUGAACUACAUACCGUGACUGCUUCAAAACACCACACACACACACAAACACAAUGGCAAAAAGAGAAACAAGUUGGAAUGGUGCUCUUCAUUGAACUUAGAAGUUUUCAAGUAUGCAGAAGAGUGAAUUGCAUAUAAUAGUGUUCAAUGAAUACUUGAGAUACAUUUAAAUGACUUGACUGUGUGAAACACAUAAAUGUAGUCUUAUUUUACAAUCCAUGCAUAUGAUUCUUGCUUUGAAUUACUAGGAAUGACUCCAGUUCACAGUGCUUUACUCCAUGGGCCAUACUGAAGCUCUUGUUUGGCUUGAAGUAAAAAUGAUAAAAGAGAAGUACACAAAACACACUUCUGUCAAUCUUAUUGCAUGACUUAUUUAUCCCUAAAUUUUGAUAUUUAGUAGACAGCACAUUGAUCAAUUUAUAAUUUAAAUUAUUAAGUUUAUCAAAACAUACAGAAAAGUAUCAGAGAGAAAAAAUGGCUUCAAACAAAUAUGCAGAAAUUUAAUUGGUAUGACCUGCAAUAAAAUGUUAAUAAGGUUGGUUGCAAGAGUAUAUGAAACUUCUCUAACAUUUUGAAAAUAUUUAUAUUAUCAACUUGUUUUUCAUAUGAAACCUGUGAAUUAUGACCAAAAUUUUAGUACCGAUUUGUACAUGCAGAGAUAAAGGCUCAGUUUUAAAAUUUUUUAAGUUUUCAAUAGGGCCUCUUCAAUCCCAGUACACCAUUCUUUCUACUAACAUGAACUCCUUGCAUAUCUGUGAAAUUUGUCACAUGUAUCUUUUAUAGUUGUACCACUAUCAUCUAUGAGUUAAUAAAAUCAUUUCAAAUGAAAAUGAGCAAUAAUUUUUGAAGAACUGUAUCUUGUUUUCUUACAAACAGCAAUAAAAUAAAUUGAAAACAAAAUGCUGUCAAAGAUAAACAUGAACAAUGUGCAAAAUCCUGAGACUUAACUACCUAAUGUGUAAUAAAUGAAUAAUUUGGCAUUAGGGGUGGUGGGAUACCCAGGGAUAUGUAGCAUUACACAAUGAGCCCAAGAUUAUUACUCAAACGAAAAAUAACUAUUCAAACUGCUCACAUUUGGGAGGCAAUUAUAAUAAACAGUUAAAUCGGUUACAAAAACAUUUUGAAAUUUAAUAGAAUUUGAAUUAUAAAACUAUUUAAUAUUCAUCAAGAUAGAAGUAUUCUAUCAAAGAACAAAUGUGAUACAUAACAUUUACAAUACACUGUUUGAAGUGCACUAAAUAAUCUUUUUAUUUCCAAACCGAACAUGGUGUCUUCUUCAAAAUUGAAUGUUAGGAAAUGCUAAUGCAAUAUGAAGUGUGGAUUCUGAAUUAAUUCUCAACACAAUACACAUAAGCCACUACAUGCAUUAAUGGUUUUCAGUUCGGUGACAUAACAGAAUUCUCAGAAUUUGUAUCUAAUUUAUUUUGAAACUUUACCCAUAAAUGACUUUGUUUACAGAGAACUAAACACACAUAAUCUAAUGCCAAGAUUGAGAUUCUAGGAAGAAUUUUUACUAACCGAUAUAGUGUUUUUCUGUGGUUAUUUGACAUGAUGAAAGAAAUCCAGUCAUGGCAUGUAGAUAAAGCUAGUAGCUAUUUUUAUUUUAUUUCAAAGGUUAAAAUAUUUCAAAGAUAAUUUAUGUGAAUUAGCAAAUGUUCUGAGGCGUAGCUACCUGUGGAGUGACUGAGGUGUUACCAAAGACAUUUUCAGUUGUGUCUUGGAUUUAACAUUUUCUGUGUGCACUUUCUUGUAGGAGGCAUCUUUGACCCUAUUUGCUUGUCAUUUUUAGAGGCUAUUCAUAUAAUUUUGAGUUAAGAUGAAAGUCAAUACAUGUAAUAGUUUUCUUGGUCUUUGGAAUUUUAAAAUGCAGUGGAAUGGGGAUUGUGGAAUUGCUGAACUUAUUAAGGCUAAAUUGAAUGGUUAGUCUGAAAGUAUCAUUAUUCCAAAUCAUCAUAACUAAAUUUUUAAUUGUUUUCAGCCAAAUUACAGCCCUUUCCUCCCUCUUUCCUUCCUUCCUUCCUUCCUUCCUUCCUUCCUUCCUUCCUUCUUUCCCUCCUUUCUCUGUUUGCCUGUUCAUUGCAAGUUAAAGCAAUAUAUAUACUAUAUAUAUAUUCAUUGCAAGUUAAAGCAAUAUAUAUUAUUAAUGUUUUUUCUCAUUAAUAUCAAUAUAAAUUCUGAAGCCUUUUCAUUACAUGAUUACUAGUAUAUUUCAGAGAUUUUUAUCUUGAGAUUUAGGAUAAUAAUGGGCCCAUAACACCAAAGAGAUAUGAAAUUCUAUUUUUGGUCUUAUCUGGAAAUGUUGAAAACUGUGAUUAUAUUUGAAGAAAUCUUUCUAAACAAAUAAUUUUAGUCUUACACAUUUUCUCAAUUGUGCAAAUAUUAUAAAAAAUCAUGGCAAAUAAUCAUGGAAAACUGGUAACUGAUUCCAUUGGCUUUGCAUUUUUUUCAGCCACUGGAAAUUAUUCUCUGUCCUCUGCUAUGUGUCUCAAUGUUCUUGGCCACAUUUAUAUAUUAUACCUGUCACUAUUCAUUGGCUGUAACCUAUACGUUCUCAAUGAUUUGCAUCAUGUAGUACUCCCUCUAUGAAUUUAUCUCCAUCUGAUAUUACUCUUCUCUCAUUUUAAGCUGUGUUACUAACUGAAAAUACAUCUUUGGCAUUUGCUUUCAUGCUAUCAUAGUUCUAUACAGACAUAUCCACUUGCAUAUUUGGAACAUACCAAACAUAGUUCACCUGGUCACUUAUACAUAUCCACUCUCAUUUAGAAAAUCUAAGUAAUAGUGACAAACUAGACAAGAGAUCUUUUAUUUUAUAUCAAAUAAUAAGUCCUUGUGGGUAUUCCAGUAACAUUUUGUGCUUAUUAGUUCAAAGACAUCAGUAUCAAGUUGGGGAAGAAUGGGCCUAUAAAACUAAAAAGACAUAACUUUUUUUAGGUCUUAUUUGGAAAUGUUGACCACCAUUGUCACUUUAUUUUACUGAGUCUGAAGAUGGCUAAUAGAAUGUGAAAAAUAAUUUCUGAAGAAUACAAUAUUGAUUACAUUUUCUUGGUUAUAAAAUGUAUCACUGUCAAGAAUAGGAAAAUGUACUUCUCAUAAAACCUUUAUAAAAAAUUAUUCAGAUAUCUGACCAUAGAACAAAAUAAAUAAAUCUUACCUUUCCCUAUCUUUCUCUGACUCAUCAUACUUUUACACACAUUCACUCUUACAUACACAUCAGCACAUAAAAAGAGAGGACAAAUAAAAACAACAUCAUCACACAAAAUGAAGUCCAUGAGAGAGAGGGAUAGGUAAACACUGUCAGAUUAUGAACAAAUCCUUUUUAUAAACAUUCUCCCAGAAUGGAACUCAUUCAUAAGCUGGAGGUUUACUGUACUAUCAAAAUAACAUGGCAGAUUUUGUAUAUUAGAAUACAAUUAUAGACAUGAAAAUUAAUUUCCUAGUAAUAUAAAUGCAACUAUGGAUAAAUUUAAAGAUAAAUAUAAAUAAGACAAAAUAUAAAUAUGAUGUGUACUUUAAUUUCUAGUCAAACAAAAUUAAUAUUAUUUAAUAUUAUUAUAUAAUGAUGUUCAUUUUCAGCUUUAUGAAUGUUUAUGCUGAAACUCUAACAAAACUAAAAGGAAUAAUCAAUAUAAUACUCAAAAUAGUAGUUAGGUCUGAAAAAAUGAAGAAGAUAAAAAAAUUGGUCCUUAGUGUUUUUGCUUUAUAACUACAGGAAAUAUUUCAUGAUCUUAUUUAUUACAGCAGAGAAGAAAAAGAUCUUUCUUUUGGAGUGAUGAUGUCACAAGUAUCAAUUAGGGGAUUGUCUUGAGUACUUCCCCCCCACAAAGAUGUUUUAUACAUAAAGACAAAAGUGUGUUACAAUUGACUAAGAUUUUAUUGUGAACAAAGACAUGGGAAAAAAAUUAAUAUAAUUUGAGGCAAUGAUUCGAGACAAAUAAACAGUCUCCAAAUAACUUAUUAAACAAACGUGUAUAUUCUAUUUGUCAAAUGAGAAAUAUUACUUAUAAGUGUUAUUGCCACAUUUUUGUGGAAUCAACUAAUUUGUUAAUUCUAGUAGCUAUUCAACAGUACCUGAAAUAUUGUAGCUCCUUAUACUAUAGGCUAAAAUUUCAAAUAUUUAUCAAUCAAGUUUCUUUAUGGAACAGAAUCAAUGGGAUUAUUAGAUGGAUUUAUAGGAUCAGAUGCUGGAAAAUCUGAGUGUCUAUCUGCAUGUGGCAGAGCCAGUGAAUCAAGUAGGUGUUCGGUUCAAGAAGUGCGAAACUGAGGAACAAGAGGGAUUAAAGAUAUAGCACCAGUUCAAGACUGAAGGCCUAUAUGUCUGCUUGGAAGACUAGAGUGUGAUGACAACAGAAUAUGACAGCAAGAUACACCUGCUCAUGUUGAAUGGUACCCUUCAAAGGAACUGUAACUUCCUCCUUUCCCUUCUAUUCCUUAAGACUACAAGCCUAUUGCAUGAUGGCACCCACAAGCAGGGUGAAUCUUUCACCAUGACUUUGCUGACCUACAUGACAAUCAUCUCUGGGAGUAGUCCAUAGACACACACAGAAAUAUGCUUUACUAAUCUGUUAGGCAUUUUUUAAUGCAGUCAAGUUGACACAUCAUGAUUAAUAGUCAUAAUUAUUAACUGCUCUAUCAUUUUUUCAAAAUUUCUAAAGACAGCCUUUCUUGUUUUCAAAGUUUUCAGUUGUUUCCUUUUAAGGAAAGUGAUUUUAGGUAAAUAUGAGAUAUGAUUUUUCAAUGUCUCAGUAAAUAUAACUGAAGCAUCUGUUGCAAAUUUAUUGAGCCCUUGCUAAGCAUCUCAAAAUGACAGGCUUCUAUGUCCAAUUUUUACCCCUUUUAAUUUAAACUCAUCUUAGUAUAUUGCAAAGUGUUUAUCUUUGAAGAAUAAUGUAUAUUAAUUACAUUUGAUAGAAUGUCAUCCUAUACUUAGACUAUAUUGAAUAAAAGAAAAUAAUAUUGUAUGUGAUAAUUUCACUAAAUUCAUCCAUAAUUUGAAAAGUGGCUUAUGAAGAAUAUUGAUUGGUAAGAAACUAGAAUACAAUUAUUAAUAAUAAUGAUAACAAGGAUAAUUGUUUUGUGCAUUUACUGUAUUUUUGUCUCUUGCAAUGCCUUCCACUGCUAAUUUUAUCCUCAAAAGAAAUUAAAGUUUGAACCUAUUACUUUUCCCUUUAAUAUAUGAGAAAUGCAAAUAUUCUCUCAUAUAAAUACUCUAAUUUUUUGUGCAAAAGUGUGGCUCCCAAACAUGAAUGUUUAGUAUCAGUUCUUUCUAUUAUACAAUUGUGCUUUAUUGUCAUGCAACUCCUAAAUAUUUUAAAUCUCCUGAACACUCACCUUUAUUCUUUGAAAACACAAUGAACAAAGUGUGUUUCCAAAUAGGUUCAUCUUAGGAAUAGGUGAAAUGUUUAUAGAAUUUUAGUUCCAUGACUUCGGUGGCAGCUAUUUUUCUUGCUGAGACAAAAUACCUGACACUCAAAGUUGCAGGAGGAAAGCUUUAUUUGGCUUACAAUUCUUAGAGGUUGCAGUUCAUAGCUGGCUCCAAAACAGGGUGGCAUGGCAGACAGGCCUUGCAGAGGAGAAAUAAUUCAUGGUGGGCAGAAGAUAGUAGAGCAAAAGCAGCUUCUUUCUGCUCCUUUUAAACUUGAUCUAGCUUAUCAGGAUUAGGGUGGUGCCCAAAGAAUCACUGGACUGACUGAGUGAUCACACACUCAAUCCCAGCAUCACACACUCUAGCUCCAGCCACCUAUGAAAAAGCCCUAUUCAUGACUGAGUGAGGCUUUGGGGGUAUAUCUAGACACAAGCCAUGACAUUCCAUCCCUGGCCCUCCAAAGACUCAUGAAUAUCCCUUUGUGCAAAAGACAUUUAGUCCACCUAAGAGUUACCAAAAUCUUAAUGGUUUCAGCAUUGCUUAAAAUUCCAAGUGCAAAGUCUCCUCUGAGAUUUGAGGCAAACUCUUAGUUGCAAGCCGCUGUACAAAUAAACAAAGUUAAACACAUCCAAUAUUCAAUGGCACAUGAUAGACAUUUACAUUCUAAAAGGUACAAAGAGGGGGAUAGAAAAGAAUGGAAAUCAGGCAAGUCCAAAAUCCAGUAAGCUAAACAUUAAGUCCUAUAGUUCCAUGUCCAGCAUCCCAGGCAAUCUAUGACAAGAUAUGAACUCCAAAGGGCUGGUGAUGCUCUACCCCUAUGGUACUGCCAGUGUUGGUUGUAGUUUCCAUGGAUUCUCUCUUGUACCAGUUCUGCUCCCUUCUUGCAGUUUUCCUCGGACAAUCUACUUCCCUGGCUUCUCUGACUUCUGAAGUCUCCACUGCACCUUUGGCUUCUCACUCAGCUUCACACACUGUUCUCUCAGGAGCACACUGCAUGGCUUCCCUGGCUUUCUUCUCAAAUAUGAGGGGAAGCCUUCCUGAACCCACAACUCUUGCAUUCUGUAUGUGCAUAAAACCAGCACCACAUGGAUGAUGCCAAGGUCUGCCACCAGCUGUAGCAGUAGGCAGGCUUCCCCUCUUGGCUAUAAGGGUCCAUUGCCUAUUACCCAAAUUCCAAGGAACAACUUCCCUAGGUUCCUGCCAUUCUAGAACAUGGUGCUCAAGGGGUCACUUUUCAAAGCAAAGCCUUUCACCUUUGCAACUCUGAGACCGCAGAGCCUGGAGUCCUACUGGUUCUCAUGAUGUCCUUAAGCCAUCUUUUCAGUAGUCUUCUUCUAAAAUUCUUGCCUUUUUCUUGCUAGUCUUUUCAGUGACCAAUUUCACCUCUGUUCAGUCUUUACAGGCCACAACUUUACUGGAGCUUCCUUUCUGUCAAAACUCACAAUAUUUUAAAUCAUUCUGCUGGUCUCUUUUCUCUUUAUUCUCAACAUUAAUCUGGCUAAAAGCCCCCAGCAGUAGCCAUGCUACUGCCUCAACAUUAGACUGUCUAGAAAUUUCUUCUUCAAAAUUCAUUAGUCUGCUUCCUUUAAUCUCAGUCUCAUACCAUUUCUGGACGUGAGCAAAUUGCAGACAAACUUUCUCCCAAGGGAUAGCACACAUUUUCUGAAGUCCAACAGCCAAUACAGUCCUUCUUUUCAGCAGAAAUCUCCAGAGACUUGUCUUUACCAGCUGAGUUUCUAUCAAUAACUCUAGUAUUCUGAGCUCUGACCAGAUCUCCCAUAAAGUACAGCCUAAGGCUUUCCAGCUCUAAUUUUUCAGCUGGAAUCUCUGAGCCUUUACUAACUCUUCUCUUGUCCAUAAGCCAGCUUCAAGGUUUCUAAACUAUAUGGUCAGGUGCAGUCACAGCAACAACCCCACUUCUCUGAUACCAGAUACUGUCUGAGUUACUUUUCUUAUUGGUGAGACAAAAUACCCAACACCUAAAGUUAAAAGAGGAAAGUUUUAUUUAGUUUACAGUCUAUAGCACAAAUGUGCUAGGCUUAAAACUGGCCCUGAAAGACAUUAUAGGUCUUGAUACUUGGAGUUGGGAUGCUACCUUAAAGAAAAAAUAGACUUUGUUGUGAUUGAACCCAGGAGAAAUGGUUCUGGUUUAUGUAGGAUUAGUUCUAAACAUAAUCACAAGUUUUCUUAGAGGCUGGGGGAGGUGUGUGUGCUGAGAUGGAAGUGAGUGUGAAGCCUGAAGAAAAGUUUCAUUCUGCCAGAUUUGUAGGUAAAUGUGGUCAUGAAUGCAAGGCUGAAAGCUGGAACACUCAAGAAAACAGAUUUUCUUUAGAGCCUUUAGAAAAGCUUUAAUUUUAGUCUAAUGAAAAUUAUCUCAACAAAUGACCUACAAAGAGUAACACAGUUUUGGGGGAUUUUUUUGUUUUGUUUUGUUUUUAGUAACACAAUUUUUUAACUCACAAUAAUUGUGUUUUUUUUAAAUAGCGCUAAAACAUAUUAACACACAACUUUUAAAAAUAUUAAUCAUAUCUCAUUAUUUAUGUUGCUGUAAUUUGUCGAAUUUUUAUAUAUCAUUAUAAUUACUAAACAUGUGUUUUUGUGAAUAUAAUGUUAAAUUAUUUUUAAUAUUGGCUUAUUUUUCUAUAUUAAUCCUGAAUUAUUUCACUUCAUCCUCUUGAAUGUUUUAUAGAGGUUAUCAAUCUAUAAUUAUCCCCAGUUCUAAUCAGUGUAUUGCUGCCUUCUUAAUUUUUUUAAAAAUAUAAUUUGCUGAAAAGUAUCAUUAAACGAGUGUAAGAAAAAACAUUCAUAAAAUGUAUUUCCAUUACUUUUGUUAGCUUUUAUUCUUGAAAUAUUUAACUUGCCUAAGGUUGAGUAACUUUCAAAUUAAAAACUUUUACCAUAUAUAUAUAUAUUUUUUUUUGGUACUGGGGAUCGAACUAAGGUCCUUGUACUUGUGAGGCAGGCAGUGGAACCACUGACUAAAUCCCUGGCCUUUCCGUAUUUCUUGAACUGAGAUCACUUUUUAAAAAGUUAUAUUUUUGCCUUUGAUUUUGCUCAUUUUUUAUUCAGUUUUGUCCAUAAGUAACAACAGUUUUCUAUAACUUUGUUCUUCCUCUAAUUACACUAUUUUCUUUUCUGUUCUUGGUCUUAUGGAUCCUUAUGCUCAACGAUUACUCUCUGUUUGAUGUGAC